Molecule: ribosomal RNA, 443 nt
Filed under: uncultured bacterium
Lineage: Bacteria
Description: partial 16S ribosomal RNA
Rfam family: Bacterial small subunit ribosomal RNA
Source: RNAcentral
CCUACGGGAGGCAGCAGUGAGGGAUAUUGGUCAAUGGGGGAAACCCUGAACCAGCGAAGCCGCGUGAGUGAAGAAGUAUUUCGGUAUGUAAAGCCCUGUCAGCAGGGGAGAAAGAACUGACGGUACCUGACCAAGAAGCCCCGGCUAACUACGUGCCAGCAGCCGCGGGAAUACGUAGGGGGCAAGCGUUAUCCGGAAUUACUGGGUGUAAAGGGAGCGUAGACGGUGAUGCAAGUCUGGAGUGAAAGGCGGGGGCCCAACCCCCGGACCGCUCUGGAAACUGUGUAACUUGAGUGCAGGAGAGGUAAGCGGAAUUCCUAGUGUAGCGGUGAAAUGCGUAGAUAUCAGGAGGAACACCAGUGGCGAAGGCGGCUUACUGGACCGUAACUGACGUUGAGGCUCGAAAGCGUGGGGAGCAAACAGGAUUAGAUACCCCAGUAGUC